Long non-coding RNA from Anguilla anguilla (European eel), 2124 nucleotides. RefSeq lists it as uncharacterized. The record is from RefSeq and is a predicted model, not a curated record. The transcript is spliced from 4 exons. Lineage: Eukaryota; Metazoa; Chordata; Actinopteri; Anguilliformes; Anguillidae.
CUAAAUCGGGGUGAACAUUCUGAAGAAAGUGGAGUGGAGACUGAGGGGGGGGCAGCCCACAAAACACCUAAUGAGUGUGCUGGAAUUCCACAGGAGAGUCAGAAAAAAUCACUAAAUCGGGGUGAACAUUCUGAAGAAAGUGGAGUGGAGACUGAGGGGGGGGCAGCCCACAAAACACCUAAUGAGUGUGCUGGAAUUCCACAGGACAGUCAGAAAAUAAAAGUUCAGGAAAUGGCAAAACUUAUUGAAAGUGGGUGGAGCCCAGUUAAGACCCAGGAUGAGCAUCAGAAGACAGCACUGACUGAGCAGCACAAAGGGACUGAUGGGAGUGCUGGAAUUUCACAGGAGGAGAGUCAGACAGAAUCACUAAAUCAGGGUAAAGAUUCUGAAGAGAGUGGAGUGGAGACUGAGGGGGGGAACUCUCAACACCCCUCCUCUGGCACUGUCCCAUUCAGCGCUCCUGUGUCUCCACCUGCUGCUCCACCCAAAACAGAAAAUGAAGAGUAGACCUUCCAUAGUCCCCCAUCCAGCCCCUCUUCUCCCCCCCAUCCAGCUCCAGUACAGAAUCAGGACCAGGAAGAGAAAACAGAAAGAGCAGCAGCAGCAGAAUCUACUGAUGAGACUGGAACCAAUCAGAGAGCAGGAGCCCAGAGGCAGAGAGAGGAGGGGGAGGGGGAGGGGGAGGGGCAGGAUGGAGGUAGUGAUGGGGGCGGAGCUCAGCCCAGUGGGGCAGGAGGGGGAGGAGCUGAGAACCCAACAGCAGAUCCAGCCCAGGAGCUCCCCAGCAGCUCAGAGGAAGAGGAGGAUAUUCUGAGAUGGGGUCCAGACACCGAUGGGGGGGCAGCCCAGUGUAGUGAGGCAGGAGGGGGAGGGGACGAAAGUGUCCCAAAACCAGAUUCAGAUCAGGAUAUAGACCCUACAUCAGCAGAGGAAAAUCUAAGUGUCCCGUCCACUGAGCCAUUAAGCACAGCUGAUCCAGCCCAGGGACUCCCAGACACCACAGCCCGUUCCCCCCCUCACACUGGGGCAAGUGAGGAGUCCUGCUGUGCAGAGGAAAGCCCAACAUCAGGCCCAAAUCUGGAGCCCAACAGCACCUCUGAGGCAGAGGAAGAGAAGAAGAGAGGGAGAGAGGAGAGGACGGAGUCACAGGACAGAGGGGUGAAGUCCCUCCCAGAAAAGCCCCCGAAACCCUACAGCCCCUAUAAAGCCCCUAAACCCCUACAGCCCCUAAAACACCCCUAUACCAUUGAGCAGGACUGUCCCAGAGCACACAGGAGGGAGAGACACAGGACAGUGGGACACUGAGUCACAUGACCACAGGAUGAAAAGACUGCAGACACAGGAAAAGCAGCUCCUAAGCCUGAGAACACAGGAGAUCAUUUAAACUCUGAGCGGUGCUACAGUGCGUAAGACACAAGCAUAUUUUUUAAUGGGUGUAAAUUGUAUGAAUUUAACCAGAUCCCUUCCUCUUUUUAAUUUACUUUGUUUGCUUUAUACAUCUGCUCCUGGGAUGUGUUUUGUGUUCUGUGUGUGUGUGUGUUAGUAAAUCUGCAUCUGUCAUAUGAAGUUCUAAUUAAUAUCAAAUUCAUACCCUGUAAUUCCUGCAAUAUUUGGUGUCUAAUUUCCAUGUAAAUGGUAGAUAAAUUCUUGAUGAAAGUCUGUUAUCUAAUCUAGCUAACUGGUGUUAUACCUUUGUUGGCUAGCAGCAGCAGCUAUAAUUUAUUUUCACUUUUUUAUCAGGGGAGCCAGUCGUAUUGCUGCCACACCCCACCAUGUUCUGUUCUGUAUUUAACUCCUUUUUGUCCCCGUCUCCCUCUCUCCUCCCUAGUGUCUCUCCCUCUGGUGUUCUACCCAGGGGUAUAAUUGCUAAAUUAAUGCAAUGAUUGGUUAAUUGAUUGUUUGAUUGUUUCCCUCAUGUGUAGCCCUAUACCACUUGGAUCCACACCUGUCAGCCACCUUACACUUUUGGCCAGCUAUGGAGGUGUUUCUGUGCUAAUCCUUCUCAAUUCUCUUUCAUGAUCUGUAGAUUAUAGUGUGUGAUGUGCACCAGUGCAGCCCCUGUCACUUUUAUAUACUGAAGCCCACAAUUAUGAAGAAAUGAAUCUAUGUAUUAGCAGAACCAGU